AAACGCUACGUAACGGCAUGAAAGUUUUUUUUUUUUUUUUUUUUUUUUUUUUUUUUUUUUUUUUU
Molecule: non-coding RNA, 65 nt
Filed under: Prorocentrum micans
Lineage: Eukaryota; Dinophyceae; Prorocentrales; Prorocentraceae
Source: RNAcentral